UCUUGAUCUCAAAUCAGGUAGGAUUACCCGCUGAACUUAA
This 40-nucleotide ribosomal RNA is filed under the name Basidiobolus ranarum. RNAcentral's name for it is "partial 28S ribosomal RNA". The record is from RNAcentral. Lineage: Eukaryota; Fungi; Basidiobolomycota; Basidiobolomycetes; Basidiobolales; Basidiobolaceae.